This 460-nucleotide ribosomal RNA is filed under the name uncultured bacterium. RNAcentral describes it as "partial 16S ribosomal RNA". It matches the Rfam family "Bacterial small subunit ribosomal RNA", at positions 338 to 795 of the family's 1533-position model. The record is from RNAcentral.
CCUACGGGUGGCAGCAGUGAGGAAUAUUGGUCAAUGGACGAGAGUCUGAACCAGCCAAGUAGCGUGAAGGAUGACUGCCCUAUGGGUUGUAAACUUCUUUUAUAAAGGAAUAAAACGAGGCACGUGUGCCUUUUUGCAUGUACUUUAUGAAUAAGGAUCGGCUAACUCCGUGCCAGCAGCCGCGGUAAUACGGAGGAUCCGAGCGUUAUCCGGAUUUAUUGGGUUUAAAGGGAGCGUAGAUGGGUUGUUAACUCAGUUGCGAAAGUUUGCGGCUCAACCGUAAAAUUGCAAUUGAUACUGGCAGUCUUGAGUACAGUUGAGGGAGGCGGAAUUCGUGGUGUAGCGGUGAAAUGCUUAGAUAUCACGAAGAACCCCGAUUGCGAAGGCAGCUUACUAAACUGUGACUGACAUUGAUGCUCGAAAGUGUGGGUAUCAAACAGGAUUAGAUACCCCAGUAGUC